This 165-nucleotide non-coding RNA is filed under the name Stegodyphus mimosarum. Its description in RNAcentral is "eukaryotic large subunit ribosomal RNA". It matches the Rfam family "Eukaryotic large subunit ribosomal RNA", at positions 967 to 1124 of the family's 3401-position model. Lineage: Eukaryota; Metazoa; Arthropoda; Arachnida; Araneae; Eresidae. The record is from Rfam by way of RNAcentral.
UUUCUCUCAGGGUAACUGACACACGAGAUUCUGUGCUGUGUCAUCCGGUCAAGAGAAUGAUUAGAGGGCGCGCAGCCGAAACGACUUCAACCUAUUCUCUAACUUUAAAUGGGUGAGAAGUCUGGUUUCAUGACUGAAGCCCGGACAACUGGAUGAGAGUGCGCA